Long non-coding RNA from Eptesicus fuscus (big brown bat), 275 nucleotides. RefSeq lists it as uncharacterized. The transcript is spliced from 3 exons. The record is from RefSeq and is a predicted model, not a curated record. Lineage: Eukaryota; Metazoa; Chordata; Mammalia; Chiroptera; Vespertilionidae.
UGCUGCAAAGUGAAGAAGGUGGCAGAGGGGACUUCUGAGACCGGGCCCGGACAAGCUCAUUGGAACGCUCGCUGGGGCCUGGGGCCUGGAGCUGCCCCCUGGUGGAGGUGCUGCAGUCAGCUGUGCCAUCUCAGCCUUCCAACCAGAGGCCACAAGUCAAGCAGAAGCCAGUGUUCGCAGUCCUAGAAACCUGAGGCAAAGGUAACAUCGGGCUGGAACAAAGCCGUCAUUCCACAGAUCAUCGUCACUUCAGCCUCAAAUGAGGCUCUCAUCGG